Molecule: ribosomal RNA, 451 nt
Filed under: uncultured bacterium
Lineage: Bacteria
Description: partial 16S ribosomal RNA
Rfam family: Bacterial small subunit ribosomal RNA
Source: RNAcentral
AACGAACGCUGGCGGCAGGCUUAACACAUGCACGUCGAACGGGUGUAGCAAUACAUCAGUGGCAGACGGGUGAGUAACACGCGGGAACCUUCCUAGGGGUACGGAACAACUCAGGGAAACUUGAGCUAAUACCGUAUACGUCCGUGAGGAGAAAGAUUUAUCGCCCUUAGACGGGCCCGCGUCGGAUUAGCUAGUUGGUGGGGUAACGGCCUACCAAGGCGACGAACCGUAGCUGAUCUGAGAGGAUGAUCAGCCACACUGGGACUGAGACACGGCCCAGACUCCUACGGGAGGCAGCAGUGGGGAAUCUUGGACAAUGGGCGCAAGCCUGAUCCAGCCAGGCCGCGUGAGUGAAGAAGGUCUUCGGAUUGUAAAGCUCUUUUGCCAGGGACGAUAAUGACGGUACCUGGAGAAUAAGCCCCGGCAAACUUCGUGCCAGCAGCCGCAGUAA